Molecule: long non-coding RNA, 629 nt
Organism: Phragmites australis (common reed)
Lineage: Eukaryota; Viridiplantae; Streptophyta; Magnoliopsida; Poales; Poaceae
Exons: 2
Source: RefSeq, a predicted model, not a curated record
UGAGGUCAUCCCUAGCAUCGACAAUAAUAUUAUUAAGAAUAAGGAUGCAACUAAUAUUGUUGGUCCAGUUACACGAAAGCGGGCUAAACAAUUAGAGAAGGAAAUUCAUUCCCAGUGUGGUGAUCAGCUGGUUUGAUGAGAGCAUAUUAAAGUACAGAUCAUAGAGGAAUAAUGAUAGGUGAAAGCUAUCCCUAAAUAUCAAUUACUAUUUCUAUAUACAAUUAUUAUACCACACCCUACAUGCUAAUUGCAGGAAGUAGAUGUUUGGACGUACUAGAGAGAAUAAAGGGAAGAAGAACCAUUGAGCAUGGACCUUAAUUACUUUGUGAUGACAUCAGCAACAAGACUAGCGGCCAGCCCUUUACUUCUCACGUCCACAAGCAAGCAAGGAAGCACAAGAGCCAUCCAAAAUAAGAGAAGUUAGAGGAAAACUAUUCAGCUUCCAUGUAAUUAUUUUAUUGUGUGAACUGAACACAACCAUUAUCUCUAUAUGUAUCCACGCACUAGAGGGGAGGGGGGACUUUUUGGCUGCCAUUUUCAGAACACUCAUCUUUGAGAUAAUAUACGUGAGUCUUGAGAGGCUUACAAACUUGUUCUUUCGAUUCCUGAGGGAGUUGUAGAACGCCGAA